Molecule: non-coding RNA, 4758 nt
Organism: Taeniopygia guttata (zebra finch)
Lineage: Eukaryota; Metazoa; Chordata; Aves; Passeriformes; Estrildidae
Source: RefSeq, a predicted model, not a curated record
AUGUUUUCUAGCUCAUACAUGCUACAAACUCUUUGGUACAGUGCCUCAAACUCAUUGAUUCUUCUUCUCAGUUAAAAGAUUCUGUCUUAUCUUUUCAAGUUUUCCUGUUAUGACCUCCUUUUUCCUUAGAAUGCACUUUCCUUCAAAUCAGGAUUUUAUGUUCCCACUUAUCAGUAAUCAAACCCAAAGCAGAGUAGAAAUUAUUCAGAUUUAUGUUGUGCAUUGGACCAGACAUUAGGUUGUCACUCAGAGAAGCUCUGAAGUCAGCUCUGAUCCAUAGGUGUUUUAUAGCAGUUUACAUAGAAGACCUCAGAACCCAGGUAAGACAGCAGAAUGCUGUGGUGCAGCAGAGAUUCACUGACACUGAGAUACCAGAGACACUCAUUGAAGCUCAUAAGGAUAAUACAGAACCAGCAGCAGAUGUAUGGGGCAUACCUGUAAUCAGUUCUGACUGGAAUAAAAAACCAAAAUAUUAACUAGUGCACAUCUGCCAAUUAUUGUUACCUUUUCAAAGAAGCGUUCUUUUUUUCAAACUGUUGGUUAGGUUUUUAAUUUUUUUUUCUAAUGCUUUUCAGUUGGCAGGUGCAUUGUCAAGAAAACAAAAUGUCCCUCAUCAGGUGAAAUUAAGAAACUUCCAUUUUGUGAAAUACGGGAACUUCCCUUUCCUAGCCCCCAGCAGUUUCAAACUUGGGGAGAGAGCAGUGAUGUCUACAUCCCUUUAUGAUGACAAGAUGGAGAUUUCAGCAGGAGCCCAGACUUUUCCCAUGCAGAAGAAAAUAGAUGCCAAAUCUGAAUUCUGGAGUCUGCAAGGAUUCUGAGUUGGCGCUUUUCAGAGAGGAGCUCAGCAGAAGGUGGUAGCAGACUGUUACAUCUCUCCACACCCUUUCACUUUUCUCCUGCAUUUGGAUGGCAUAUGAGGUUUGGAGAGUUUGGAGAAGGGGCAGAAGAAGAAAGAUGUGAGAGAGGUCACACCAUCAUUUCCUAGAAAUAAGGUAUUUCCGUGAAUCACAUCUCAACCUUUAAAGGACAAGUGUCGCUGCCUUCUGAAAUGUACUCUCAGCCUUGCUCUUCAAAGUUCAGAUCAAGUGAUGCUGCCAAGAUUUAUGCAUCUGUGGCAAAUAAUUCACAGAUGCCAACUCAUUGAAGAAUCCAAGAGCUUUGUCCUAUGCCAGGGUAACUUCAGCAGUAUUUUCCAGAGCUGUGGAUUAAGUUUGCUGAAGCAAAAAAAUGACGACGUGUCUGAUCUAUUUCAACAGCGCUGCCAUACGUAAAGAUGAUUCAUCAGUGUUCCCUCUCUAAUGGUAACUAUCUCCAGUGGGCAGUAAAGAAUGACCAAACUGGCUAUCAGAUGGCAAGGAGCAGAAGUUGGAACAGCAUUUGCCUUGCUCACUUUGUACUUGAUUGUGUAUCCAGGCGUUCCCAUCUAGACUUGCAGGGGUUGCUCGAGCAUUUAAUUACUUGAAUCCCAAUGAGCUGAAACUGCUUGGUUCAGGAGAUAGCAUAAUAAAGGCAUUCUCCUGAGGUGGCUAGAUCAUUUUUUUAAGCUUUACUGACAAGCUAGAAAUAGUCACAGAUUUUAAAUGUUGCCAAUGAUUAUAUUCAAAAAGCAUGGAAAAUAUGAGCCUACAUUUUCUGCUAUGCCCAUGUUCCUUCAGGAGCAGCAAAAGAAGGGAAUGUGGGCUUCAUGUGGAACUACCUAAUUCUCUGUCUGACUACACACCAGCUUUGGCCACUGUUAUGAAUUACACCAUAUAAUGGUGCCAAAAGGGGACAGUCUGGUGCUAAACCCUCUCACUCCUGCAUCACUGUGUAACCACAUCAAGGAACGGGAGAACUGACUUCAUGUUAGCUCAAGUUUUUCAGUGCUCAAGUUUUUCAGUGCUCAGACUAGAGGUGUCUUGCCAAUAUCAAGGUGGCAAGAUGGAUCAGACUAACUAAGAGACUCAGGGAAGAGGGAAGCGUAAAAUGUUGCAAACUUGGAUUCUGCAUUUUACAUUUAUUUGAAGAAAUAUGUAUGUCUUUCAGGAUUGUGUAUGAAUGGUGUUACUGGAGUAUCUGGUAUCCAGCUAAGCAUGCAGCUACCUUGUGUCAGUAAUUAUAAAUGAGACAAUUGUCUCAAAUUUCUACUCACAAUCAUUGUAUUGGGUUUUUCUGUUCAUUUUUUUGUUAGUCUUUUUUUUUUCUAGUAGCUUUUCCCAUAGAGUUUGCAUGAGAGAGUGAAGGUUUCCUAUGAGUAGUAGAAAAAGUGCAUGGACUUGGGAUACAAUUCCAACUGGAGAAAAACAUUACCAAAGAAAUCCAGAUACUUAGUGACUCAUGUAAAAUAUAACUUGACAUUUGAGCAUGCAAGAUGAUUUGUGGUAUGUGGUUUAUACAACUCCCAAAUUUUUAUAUCUCUUUAUGGGGAACACUGCCAAAUCUGGAAUAGAAUAUAUGAUUUAUUUUUAUUUCAGGGUAGAAAUUGUCUUUUUGAUUUUCAGUCUGCAAAAGAUGAGCACUUGCCAGUGCACAUUUAUACACAGCCAAAAAAAAAAGAGAGCAUGCUUGAGCCAAGCAGGAACAGAAUUAGUUACAGACUCUUUUUUUUUCUCCACAGCAUGACUUAUAUUGAUACAUUCAUUGUGUUAAAUGGCAUAACUUUGUAUUUUUCACUACUUUAAGGAAGAAAAGUUCAUACUGUUUUAAUCCUUAUGGUUCUGACUUAGGUAAGUAGAAUAGGAAUAAGAAUUCUCCCCUUACAGAUGAGUAUUCUCUUCAGGGUUUCAGUUAAUUUUGCACUAUGGACUAUGUAAUUACAGCCUUUCUGCUACCUGGGAGAUCACCUGAGUUCCAGUUUAACAAGCCUUAUAUAUAGCAUGGGGUUCUUUCACUUUAAAUGUUGGGUAAUGUUUGUUCUUAAAACAAAGCAUCUUCUGAACGGGUUUGUAUCCGGGAAAGAAAUAAUGAUAAUCAAUGCUAGAUUUGAAGAAUGGCAAAAAAUAACAACAUAAGAUCUAAAUUUCUCUAAGAAUCAGAAUGCUUUCAUUUCUUCUGGGGGGGUAGGAGAGGGCAUUAUAGGCCCUUGAAGUAGCAGAGAGAAAUAGAGAAAAGUUUGUGAUAAACCUCAUAUUCUUGUUAUUAUUUCCUCUUAGAGUCACUUGGCUGCGAUAAGGCUUGUGUGCUGCUUCUUCCUCCAAGCUCUAUUUAAAUUCCUAGUUUAACUAUACGUGUCUUCCCUCUUUAACAGUGAUUUGACUGUGCCUGUAGCAUUAUUUUACUAUCAUAGAAGGAUACUUGGAGGUGAUAAUACUAUUCAGUGCAACUUUGCUUUUCGUACUAACCUGUUUCUUUAAAAUAUUCACUUUCAUUUGUAAUUCUAAUUUGGAAAGACAAAUGCCAUAAUCCAUGGAUAAUUAGGAGUCUAGACUAAUUCUGUCAUGUCAGUGCUUUCUUAAUCUGCCCCUAAUCAGAUUAAACACCUUAAUUCAGACAUUAUUGACAUUGCAGAUUGCAGAAUUCCAGGGAAGCUGCUACAGUGUAUCAUGCAGCUGGAGUUGUUGUAAAUGGAAUUUACUGGCCAUUUAUAACCUUUAAUAUCUUGCAAAGAGUAUAAAAAUGGAUUAAGAAAUCCAAAAGUUUAUUCUAACAGAAGGAAAAAUGAAAGUAUGCAUCUGUUAAGAUUUUAACUCUAUUGUCUCACUUAUCUUUUCAAGAGAGAGGUCACUAAAAGAAAGUAAAGAUGAGGGAAUUAUUUUCUCAAGAACUUUUUGCAGCUAAAAGCUGCACAGUGAGUUUCACUGUAUAUAUUAGUGUAUCAACACAAAAUCAGUGUGUUAAUUAGAGAAACCACAAGCUGUUUAUUCUUUAUUUCAAAAUCAACUGCAAUCACAAAUAUUUUGGUGCAAUUGUUGGCAAUAGCCAACAUGCAGGAAGACUGGUUUAAAUCUGGAAUUUCUGUUUUGUAGCCAACCCUGACCCACUAACAUGGUUUGCACCUAUAAAGGACAUACUGUGAUCUGGAUUGAUGUGUGUUGCUAAUGGGAUUUCACUGACUAAACCCACAAAUGAUACUUCAAGAUAUAUCAGGAAAAGUCUUGUAGUGAAGAUGAAGAACUUGUAAUUACAAAAUUGCAUCAGCAAUUGUGACCAAGUUUUAUUUUUAUCUCUGUCUCAAAAUAUAUUUGAAUAAUUAUCAUUAGCUUUAAAAGACAUUCUCCUUCCAUGAUUUUGUUAAUUCCCUUCUAACUACUUUUUCUCUUGAUCAGAACAAUAUAUUUUUAAAGCACUUGAUUUGAGAGUGUGUACUUGUGAUGGUGCCAGUCAGUUCUGAACAAAAAUUAAAUUGUGACCUUGACUCUGGAAGGUUAUGACUGCUUUGUGCUUAGUCUUUGCUUACAGCAUCAGCAGUUGGCACAUCACAGGUAGUGCCCAUGACUUUUGAGUCUGCUUUGGCAAAAGAGGUCAUCACAAAGCAUCUGUAUUCUCACCCAGAAUAUCCUGUCAAGAGCUGUAUUUAAUUUUUAAGUUAAAAUAAUUCUUGCUCUGAUCUUAAAACAAAAGGCCAAAUUUAUCCUGAGUGAAAUGCCUACUAAAUUUGUUUUACUGUGGGUAAGUUUAUUUCCCUGUGUCAGAUUUCAGCCUAAAGCAAUUGCUUCUGAAAGUUUAUUUUGUGAUGUCUUAUAUGUGUUUGCAGAAAUGUUUCUCUCUGUAAAUAAUGCUCAAAAGCUGUUGUACAACACAGUACAAUACCAUUAAAAUGUUGACUCUGUGAAUUUGAAA